RNAcentral lists this transfer RNA (67 nucleotides) under Krisna concava. RNAcentral describes it as "tRNA-Ile". Lineage: Eukaryota; Metazoa; Arthropoda; Insecta; Hemiptera; Cicadellidae. The record is from RNAcentral.
GAUAAAGUGCCUGAAUUAAAGGAUUAUUUUGAUAGAAUAUUAAAUGUAAAUUAAAUUACCUUUAUUG